This is a long non-coding RNA of Schistocerca nitens (vagrant locust), 508 nucleotides long. RefSeq lists it as uncharacterized. NCBI's taxonomy places the organism in Eukaryota, Metazoa, Arthropoda, Insecta, Orthoptera, Acrididae. The record is from RefSeq and is a predicted model, not a curated record. The transcript is spliced from 3 exons.
AGCACCAUUAACAUAUUCUAUAAACCUGUGUCUCAUACAAGGGGUUUUUCCUGAUCCUCUCAAACUAUCCAAGGCAGGGGAACCUUUUGUCUGGAUUUAUCCUACAAAAGACCUUUUGGCAGAUUAUGGCUGGAAAUCCCUACAACAAGUUUCACCAUCCAUGAAUAAAUGGAAAGUUACCAGGAAAUGAUUCUAACUUAUCUUACCCCUUCCCUGCAUUUAUAUACUGGAAGUAGUUCUGGAAGUCAAAAAAAGUAUACUGAGAAAAGAAAACCUUUUUCCUCGAAACAAAAGUGCCCAUUAUUACAGUACCAGAUCAGACAGUGACAUACAUGUUAAUCAUCGUAAUACCACACUACACUGAAGAGGUGUAUAUCAUGCAGGGACGAAACUAUACAACAGAUUACCAAGACAUAUAAAAUCUCUUCCUGAACUACAGAGCUUUAAGAAGUCUGUGACAGCCUACCUUCUGAAAAACUGCUACUAUUCAAUCUCACUGUAUCUCAUG